RNAcentral lists this ribosomal RNA (485 nucleotides) under uncultured bacterium. RNAcentral's name for it is "bacterial SSU rRNA". It matches the Rfam family "Bacterial small subunit ribosomal RNA", at positions 22 to 518 of the family's 1533-position model. The record is from RNAcentral.
GGUCAGGACGAACGCUGGCGGCGUGCUUAACACAUGCAAAGUCGAGCGAUGAAGCUUCUUCGGGAAGUGGAUUAGCGGCGGACGGGUGAGUAACACGUGGGUAACCUGCCUCAUAGAGGGGAAUAGCCUUCCGAAAGGAAGAUUAAUACCGCAUAAGAUUGUAAUAUCGCAUGAUAUAGCAAUUAAAGGAGUAAUCCGCUAUGAGAUGGACCCGCGUCGCAGUUAGCUAGUUGGUGAGGUAACGGCUCACCAAGGCGACGAUGCGCAGCCGACCUGAGAGGGUGAUCGGCCACAUUGGGACUGAGACACGGCCCAGACUCCUACGGGAGGCAGCAGUGGGGAAUAUUGCACAAUGGGGGAAACCCUGAUGCAGCAACGGACCCGCGUGAGUGAUGACGGUCUUCGGAUUGUAAAGCUCUGUCUUCAGGGAUGAUAAUGACGGUACCUGAGGAGGAAGCCACGGCUAACUACGUGCCAGCAGCAGC